GAAACCUCCCACCCUGCUUGGAGUGCCUUUCCAAAGUGAAGCUAGAGGAGGGUUUCUCAAGCCUCUGUUUCUCAUGGGGAGCUUUGGCCUUUGCAAGUGAUGGACUGUGGAGCUGCAAGGGGAAACCACCUGGUAGUGAUCAAAGAAGAUAGGUUGAAAUUCUCCUGGAAAGAUGUACAUGUAAGACAACAAUGCAUGACACCCUCUGGUGGACUCUUCUCCUCCCUCUAAAAAACUCGCUGAUACUGAUUCAUCACUGCGAGGUAACAAGUAGUACACAGAUCUAUCUUCUCACAAAGGAUUUGUUAUAAUAUGGAAGCAGAACAAUUUGACAUCAUUAUCCGAAAAUCCACUGUGGAAGAUGAAUUCAUGUGUCAAAACUGCUAAAAUGGAUAAUGGGCAUAAUUGUUAAUAUACUAACUGUUGUGAUUUUUUAGUGAGUAAAUAUGUAACCAUUCACACAUCUUUCUGUAAUUUAUAAGUAAAAAUCUCUCCCUUUGUGACUCAGUAUUGUGAUCUUCCAUGCUCACUAUGAAAAACAUAAUAGAAAUAUGAUAUGAUAAAAUCAGAGUGCUAUACUAUAGUGACAAGAAAACAGGAGGUAUGGAUUUUAAUGUGAGUUCAACCCCUAGCUAGCUCUUUUACUUUGGGCAUUCCCUUAGUCUUGGUCUCAAUGCCCUCUUCUGUAAAGUUGUGAGGUUUGAGUUAUUCUCUGAGAUACAUUCUGCUGUUAAAAUUCUAUUAUUGAA
This 749-nucleotide long non-coding RNA is filed under the name Homo sapiens (human). RNAcentral's name for it is "HSALNT0110249". Lineage: Eukaryota; Metazoa; Chordata; Mammalia; Primates; Hominidae. The record is from RNAcentral.